CAGGCCCAGAGCGGGAGCGGGAGCGGGAGCGGGGCCGGCGGUGCGGAUAAAACCGGGGUAAAACCGCACCGGCGCGGACAUGAAGGAAGCUAUUACAAUGGUUUCUUCCUGCAUGGAGAUACUUCUUGAAAAUCAGCUACUUUGAAACCUUUGGGUUGCCAGGCUCUUCUCUUUAAUUGGCAUCUCAAGAAUGGGUAUGUAAAGGKGGUGAUACUCGCAAAGGAUUGACAUUCAGAGUUGUCCUGUAAAUAAACUAGAAACUUCUUCAGCAUGCUCACAAAAAAGACUGAGCUGAGCUGUGUUGAAGACAGCAGGUCCCAAAAGUUGCCUUUCCUGAGGAAGCAUGAUUCUGGAACUGAAGAGCCUCUCCAUCACCACUGGCACCUUGCUAUGUGCAAAGUUUGGUUUGCAAACCAGGAAGGGACUGAUGUGAAAGAUUCUCCAUGUGAAYGGCACAGCGGAAGGUCAGACACACUGGAGAAGCCAGGAGGAGGAAGGAGGAGUACAUGAGCAAUGUGACUCCAGCCUCUGUCACUAACAUCCUCUGACAUCUCAACAGAGCAGACAAAACCUUCUCUUUACCUGGCUCCUUUUAUUUUUAAAGGAAAAGUAAACAGCUUUAAACCCUCACUUCUCCCUGUCUCCACCAUCCKGAGGGGAUGAUGAUGAUGAGGAAGGUGAUGAUGGUGACAAUGAUAAUGAURAUGAUGAUAUGAGCACAACUCACCUGCUAGCUUUGUCUGCUGGUGUAGGCUGUGUAGGCUCCUAGCACAUCCCCUUGGGUAGUUUGGGAUCUGUGUUCUUCCAGGCAGUCGUGGUGCUUGCUUACCUUCACUGCUCCUGAGGCUUAUCCAGUCUUGGGGAAAAAUGCAAAAGAGUGAAAACAAACCACACUAUAGAUUCCUGUCAGAUGUUCGCUUCUAAACACAGGCUUGAUAAAUAAUGCUUUAUCAGUAUCAAUGCCCAUCAGUGACCAUAUUGUUCAAUCUUGCAUUUGGGAGUGCUUUCCAAUUAAAAGCAAAUUGCUGAAAGAGACUUUCAAAUUGGUUUCAUUGAGGAAGAAGAAAUGAAGGGAAGCUACUUGAGAUCUGACAAUAGCUAAAGUGAUUUGUAAGCAUGAGGCACGCAAGAUAACAUUUAAUUAAYGGUGACAAAAAUAGAACAUCACUUUGAAUUUACGUAAGUUCUCUUUUUCUACGUGUGAGCAAUACCCUUUCUUUACGUUUCUCUUUUCAGAAAAAUGUGUUAACCCUCCAUUCCUGUAGAUGCUAUACCAGUCACAGGAUGGGCAGCAUUUCCCCUCCCUUUUCAAAGAUUUCAGUACUCUCAUGUAUGGCAUGUAUGGACAGUAUGUUCCAAAAAAUCUCAAUCAAAUAAUUUUCUCUAAAAAAAAUCUCUAAAGUGAUUGUAUAAUAGAAAUUGGAAAUAAAUCAUUAUAUCUGAUUGUACAGAAACUUGUUUAKCAACUGCUGCAUGAAUUUGAAACAUCUCUGUGGUUUAAUCAAGUAUUAUGCCCAGAGCACAUGGAGAAGCUGGGAUGCCUGCAACUCAGCUGACAGUUCUGGGCCCCCUGAUCAGCAGAACCAAACAAACAGGGUUUUAGUGCGAGCCAUCUGAUCCAUUUUGGAUACCUGCUGUUCCCAGGCACUGUUUCUCCCUACUGACCAGUGAGAGGGCUCUGACACAGUGGAUGACUCCAAUUAUGCUGAUUAUUCAGUGAGACAGAUCUUGAGAAGGUCUUGGCUCAGAGCACACCUCCCAGACCCAUUAUUACCCCAAGUGAUCACAACAAAUAGGAAACCACAGCCUUUGCUCAGUGCACCAUGUGAAAAUAUUGCUGUCUGCAUACAGUUUCCAUCCUGCAUCAGAAUGUCAGCAUUGAAAUGGUCCACUGAAAUGUCAGCAUUGAAAUGGUCCACUCCACUGAAAUGGUCACUAGCUUUGCACCAGAACCCUCUCCAACCUCUCUGGCAGGCUGCCCCCUGCUUUGCAGUGACACUGGGCAAAUCGCCUCUCUAAGARCACCAUUCCUGCUCACCUGCUUUGACAGUCUGAUGGUGGCUGAUGACCGAACAGCAACUGUUUAGUAGGAUCCAAGGUGUGGGACAGGGUGCCUGUCUAAUUCGGUGAUCCUCCUAAUACCCAGGGAAAACAACAGUARUAAGUAGUAAUUGUAAGUUGUAUAGGAAUUAGUAGUUAACACACUGGUAAUCCAUAACCAAUUAUGCAUGGCAAUUAAUGAAUUCUACAAGAAACAUGAGCACAUGUGGGAUCUACUUACGUGAUCUUAUUAUUCAGAAUUAAGUUGUGCUCCAGUUUUUGUGACAGUUGUUUUAAAGUUGCCAGCAGCACUGAUGAUUUUUCAAUGAAGGGGUCUCCUAAUUGUACCCUUGAGUUAUGAUGAACCAGCUUGGCCUUUUCCAAAUAAUCUUCCUUUUGCAUCUGAGGCAAUAUAGGCUCCAAAAUCUAUUUGACUUUGGUGUGUCCUCCGUAAAGCAUUCAAAUAUGUCAGACUUUUUCUGACACCUGUCAGAAGUUUUCCUCCUGCUCCAUUUUUCCUUAAUAUGAUGUUAAGGACAACUGUCCAAAUCAGCCAAGAGAUGGGAGCACCCUCUCAUGGAUCAUGUUUCUCAAUUAAGCUGGUUUUGAAUAAAUGCAAGCCACAACCACUGGGACAAAUCCCCCAAGACUGAGUCCAGUUCAUUCUUCAUUUUAGAUUAGAUCACCUAAACACCAUUACCACUGUAUCCUCAGCUAAAAUUGUGCCAUCCACUGCCUACAGAGAUUGACAGCUCAGAUAAGCUGAGAAUGAGCAKGUUUUGUAUUUUUGUAAUGCCCAUUAUCUGUGUUCAAUCGAACCAGAUUAUGAUAGUACACAUAGAGCAAUUUCCAUGUUUUGUGAAGAAUCUAUUUCUAACAUGAAAAAUACUGUAUUCGGACAGGUAGGGCUGAUAUAGCUGUAGUGACAAAUGGAUCAGCCAAAAACAAUCUCCUUCCAAAAAUAGCUACAUGUUUGGAUGUAACGAGAUGAUAAAUGUGGGUGUCAGCAGCAUUAAGAAUGGGCUUUAUUACGCAGGGAUGGCUCUGUGAAGCUUCCCAGUUUUACUUUUUUUCUGCCUCUUAUUUUGAGGAUCUUCCUGUUUCUAAGCUGGUCUUUUCUAUUUUUCGUCACCUCCUUUACUUAAUGGAGCCCUAUGUACUUUCGUGGGAGUCUUUUUUCGCCAGUUAUGAUAGUAAUGUUGCUUCUUCCCAAAGCUUCAGCUCAACCCAGGAGCUUGCAGCAAUAUGAAGUCAAAGGACUUUUAGUACAAUAAAAAAUUGACUACACAUUCCCAAAAGUGARUCUGGAGCUCUACUGAUUAAACAGUUAGAGACCCUGCUUGGUUGUCACUUAAUUUGGGACACUUCAUUUUUAGCUUCCAAUUAGUUGUUUUACCUGGCAGAAUGAAGGAGAAUUUAUUGUAACUCAAAUUCAGUUAUGGCAGAGUAAGAAGUGUGUUAUCAACUUCAUUUGCCUUGCAAAAUGGCCAGAUUUCCAAACAAAAAUAUUUUUAAAAGAAACCAGAAACUUGGGUCUAUGUUUGGACCACCUUCAAAAGAUGCCCAGUUUAAUGAUCAGUUUACUACAACACCUGAAUUUGAGUAGGAUUAAAACCAACAGCUACUUCGAGGUAUUGCUGGUUUUGUCGUGCCUUCGURUGCUCACAGCAAUGACAACGAAGUGCUUUGAACCUGCUUGUUGUUCUAUGUGCUUGGUGUAUUCCUUAGGCCCAAAAAACUCACCAAAAGAAUAUUUUUCUCUUUUAAAUAUAGACUUCCUAAUUCAAAAGCUUGUGAAAUCUUUUCAGAGCGGUUAGGGCUUGAUUUCAUCCCCACACGUGCAGCUCCAUACUAAGGAUUUUUUUGAAUCUACAAAACCCACAUUCAGAUACUUCCAAUAUCAGGAGAUGCCUGGUUUGGCUUGAAGUAGGUGACAGCUGUAGGUCAUGGAACUGCAUGYAUCCAACUCCUGCUGAGCCACACACCUCGUGUGACUUCUCACCACUGGAAGGGGCUUUGGACUGGGGGAAGCCAGGUGAGAUCAGCUGAGACUCUCAGCAAGUACCUCUGUCAGCAUAAUUGAACCUCUGACGUCUGAACAAGCUCACAGAAGGAGYGAUCACCAUCCACCUUCUGUGUCUGAGUUCACCCUUUUCUACUGUGCUGUAGAUAUCUGCUGGUAUCUGUCAGUUAAUUAAAGCRGAGUUUUCCAAAAGCAGUGAUUGUGCUUCAGACAAAUUAUCAUGUUUUAUAAUGAU
This is a long non-coding RNA of Malurus melanocephalus (red-backed fairy wren), 4298 nucleotides long. RefSeq lists it as uncharacterized. The transcript has 6 exons. NCBI's taxonomy places the organism in Eukaryota, Metazoa, Chordata, Aves, Passeriformes, Maluridae. The record is from RefSeq and is a predicted model, not a curated record.